Molecule: ribosomal RNA, 458 nt
Filed under: uncultured bacterium
Lineage: Bacteria
Description: partial 16S ribosomal RNA
Rfam family: Bacterial small subunit ribosomal RNA
Source: RNAcentral
UACGGGAGGCAGCAGUGAGGAAUAUUGGUCAAUGGCCGGAAGGCUGAACCAGUCAAGUCGCGUGAGGGAAUAAGGCCCUAUGGGUCGUAAACCUCUUUUGUCAGGGAGCAAAGGCGUCCACGUGUGGACGAGAGGAGAGUACCUGAAGAAAAAGCAUCGGCUAACUCCGUGCCAGCAGCCGCGGUAAUACGGAGGAUGCGAGCGUUAUCCGGAUUUAUUGGGUUUAAAGGGUGCGUAGGCGGGAUGCCAAGUCAGCGGUAAAAAUGCGGUGCUCAACGCCGUCGAGCCGUUGAAACUGGCGUUCUUGAGUGGGCGAGAAGUAUGCGGAAUGCGUGGUGUAGCGGUGAAAUGCAUAGAUAUCACGCAGAACUCCGAUUGCGAAGGCAGCAUACCGGCGCCCUACUGACGCUGAGGCACGAAAGCGUGGGUAUCGAACAGGAUUAGAUACCCUUGUAGUC